RNAcentral lists this long non-coding RNA (542 nucleotides) under Hordeum vulgare. RNAcentral's name for it is "long non-coding RNA (HVUL_LNC003210)". The record is from RNAcentral. Lineage: Eukaryota; Viridiplantae; Streptophyta; Magnoliopsida; Poales; Poaceae.
UCUUAUUGAUUUGGGUCGACACUUGUGAGGAGAGAAAUUGUUGGACUUAAAGUCCUCUUCGUACAAAUCUUGCUACCCUGUUGGCAAGCUGUAAAGAAUAAUUUUUCCACCAUCACCAAAUUGUGUGAAGAUUCAGAUUGGAGAACACAUUAAGAAUCUAGGCGGAACACACACAUGCUCAUGUAUUUUUGGACAUAAACAAACGUACCAAUAUAGGAGAGUAGGUAAUCGUGGGAGAGAAUCAGCAACGGAAAUCCAACAUAGGCGAAGAGCACGCGGAGAUCUUCGAGAUUCAAUCCGUAGAAAGCAAGAAAAAACCCUGAAUCCAAAACCAAAGGAGGACCUCGUCCUGAUCCAGAGAACUGAAAACAAAGGAGAACCUCAUCAUGAUCUAGAUCUCGAGGGGAGGGGUGAUAGUAGAGAUUUCAUGCCGCAAGAUCUCCUUCAGAUUGUUGUUGUUUUUUCUAACGGGGAAAGAAGGAGAUUGAGAUUGACGUAGUUCCUUUUUUUAGGGUAGUUCCUUUAGUUUUCUAUAAGAAAAG